Molecule: ribosomal RNA, 388 nt
Filed under: uncultured archaeon
Lineage: Archaea
Description: bacterial SSU rRNA
Rfam family: Archaeal small subunit ribosomal RNA
Source: RNAcentral
UCCGGUUGAUCCUGCCAGAGGCCGCUGCUCUUCGGCUGGGACUAAGCCAUGCUAGUCUAGGGGCUUGUACUCCUUCGGGGGUGCAAGCACCGGCGGACGGCUCAGUAACACGUGGACAACCUGCCCUCGGGUGGGGGAUAACCCGGGGAAACUGGGGCUAAUCCCCCAUAGGUGAUGGGUGCUGGAAUGCCCCAUCUCCGAAAGCGCUUAGCGCCCGAGGAUGGGUCUGCGGCGGAUUAGGUAGUUGGUGGGGUAACGGCCCACCAAGCCUAAGAUCCGUACGGGCUGUGGGAGCAGGAGCCCGGAGAUGGACCCUGAGACAAGGGUCCAGGCCCUACGGGGCGCAGCACGCGCGAAACCUCCGCAAUGCGGGAAACCGCGACGGGGU